RNAcentral lists this ribosomal RNA (793 nucleotides) under uncultured bacterium. RNAcentral's name for it is "bacterial SSU rRNA". It matches the Rfam family "Bacterial small subunit ribosomal RNA", at positions 8 to 796 of the family's 1533-position model. The record is from RNAcentral.
AGAGUUUGAUCAUGGCUCAGGAUGAACGCUAGCGGCAGGCCUAAUACAUGCAAGUCGAACGGUAACAUGAGUAGCAAUACUUGAUGACGAGUGGCGCACGGGUGCGUAACGCGUAUGCAAUCUACCUUUAACAGGUGAAUAGCCCGAAGAAAUUCGGAUUAAAACACCAUAGUAUAGUUUUCUGGCAUCAGAAGACUAUUAAAACUCCGGUGGUUAAAGAUGAGCAUGCGUGACAUUAGCUAGUUGGUGAGGUAACGGCUCACCAAGGCAACGAUGUCUAGGGGAUCUGAGAGGAUUAACCCCCACACUGGUACUGAGACACGGACCAGACUCCUACGGGAGGCAGCAGUAAGGAAUAUUGGACAAUGGUGGCAACACUGAUCCAGCCAUGCCGCGUGAAGGAUGAAGGCCCUAUGGGUUGUAAACUUCUUUUGUACGGGAAAAAACCUCUUUACGUGUAAAGAGCUGAUUGUACUGUAAGAAUAAGGAUCGGCUAACUCCGUGCCAGCAGCCGCGGUAAUACGGAGGAUCCAAGCGUUAUCCGGAUUCAUUGGGUUUAAAGGGCGCGUAGGCGGAAUAAUAAGUCAGUGGUGAAAUCCUUCAGCUUAACUGGAGAACUGCCAUUGAUACUGUUAAUCUUGAGUACAUUUGAUGUGGGCGGAAUGUGUCAUGUAGCGGUGAAAUGCUUAGAUAUGACACAGAACACCGAUUGCGAAGGCAGCUCACAAAACUGUAACUGACGCUGAGGCACGAAAGCGUGGGUAUCAAACAGGAUUAGAUACCCUAGUAGUCC